This is a long non-coding RNA of Rhinopithecus roxellana (golden snub-nosed monkey), 576 nucleotides long. RefSeq lists it as uncharacterized. The record is from RefSeq and is a predicted model, not a curated record. Lineage: Eukaryota; Metazoa; Chordata; Mammalia; Primates; Cercopithecidae. The transcript has 4 exons.
GAUCUUGAUGACAGAAACAUUGAUUUUCCUCUUCUGAAAAAUGAGGAACUUGAAACAGUUGAUGGAUAAAUCUUUGCUCAGCUCAGUUAUACUGAAUUAUUCCUAAGCUUCCUUUUAGCUUUAAACAGAGAGGUUAGUGCAGACGUGGUUCACAUCAAAGGAAAGAGCUGUGGAUCUUUCUGUCUUGAAGGUUUCAAUACAGAGCCCUGCUGUCCAGGUCCCCACAUCCACCAACACAGAAGACAGCAAAUAUACUUACUGAGUACCUAUUUACUGAACACCUCUGUGACGACUCUGAGCUAAUUACUGUAAAUACAGGAAUUCUCCUAGCAGAUACAGUCACUGCCCUCAUAGAGCUUUUCAACUAGUAAAGGAGAUAAACAUUAGUCAUUAUCUUGUAUGUCAACUAGCAAGACAUCAACUUUCACUCAAAUCUGUGGAGAAUAGAUGGUGACUGCCAUCCCAAAAACUGUUGGAAGGGGAGCCGUUUUGGAGAGUUUAAUGAUGCCUUUGACUAAAUGUUUUUCUGCAGUGUAAUACUAUCCUGGUUUCUGACACUCAAAAGCACAGAUGAAU